GACGAACGCUGGCGGCGUGCUUAACACAUGCAAGUCGAACGGAAACGCCCUGCUUUUGUGGGGUGCUCGAGUGGCGAACGGGUGAGUAACACGUGAGUAACCUGCCCUUGACUUUGGGAUAACUUCAGGAAACUGGGGCUAAUACCGGAUAGGAGCUCCUGCUGCAUGGUGGGGGUUGGAAAGUUUCGGCGGUUGGGGAUGAACUCGCGGCUUAUCAGCUUGUUGGUGGGGUAGUGGCUUACCAAGGCUUUGACGGGUAGCCGGCCUGAGAGGGUGACCGGCAACAUUGGGACUGAGAUACGGCCCAGACUCCUACGGGAGGCAGCAGUGGGGAAUAAUGCACAAUGGGCGGAAGCCUGAUGCAGCAACGCCGCGUGCGGGAUGACGGCCUUCGGGUUGUAAACCGCUUUCGCCUGUGACGAAGCGUGAGUGACGGUAAUGGGUAAAGAAGCCCCGGCUAACUACGUG
Molecule: ribosomal RNA, 468 nt
Filed under: uncultured bacterium
Lineage: Bacteria
Description: partial 16S ribosomal RNA
Rfam family: Bacterial small subunit ribosomal RNA
Source: RNAcentral